This 326-nucleotide ribosomal RNA is filed under the name uncultured eukaryote. RNAcentral's name for it is "partial 18S ribosomal RNA". It matches the Rfam family "Eukaryotic small subunit ribosomal RNA", at positions 1470 to 1796 of the family's 1831-position model. The record is from RNAcentral.
CCCUUAGAUGUUAUGGGCCGCACGCGCGCUACACUGAUGCAUUCAACAAGCCUAGCCUUGACCGAGAGGUCCGGGUAAUCUUUGAAACUGCAUCGUGAUGGGGCUAGAUUAUUGCAAUUAUUAAUCUUCAACGAGGAAUGCCUAGUAAGCGUGAUUCAUCAAAUCGCGUUGAUUACGUCCCUGCCCUUUGUACACACCGCCCGUCGCUCCUACCGAUUGAAUGUGUUGGUGAGGAGCUCGGAUUGGCAGCAGUUGGUGGUUCGCCACCGGCUAUUGCUGAGAAGUCCUCCAAACCGCCCCAUUUAGAGGAAGGAGAAGUCGUAACA